This 4811-nucleotide long non-coding RNA is filed under the name Salmo salar (Atlantic salmon). Its description in RNAcentral is "lncRNA (ENSSSAG00000084311.1)". Lineage: Eukaryota; Metazoa; Chordata; Actinopteri; Salmoniformes; Salmonidae. The record is from RNAcentral.
UCUCUCCUCUCUCCUCUACCCUCCUCUUCUCUCCUCUCCUCCCAUCUCCUCUUCUCUCCUCUCUCCUCUACCCUCCUCUUCUCUCCUCUCCUCCCCUUCUCUCCUCCUCUCCUCCCCUCUUUUCUCCUAUUUGUCCAGUUGUCCUGUAUGUCAGUUAUAUGUGUACUUGAAAAGACAAGGCCGACUGAUUUGCACUAAUGUUGAGGAACUGGGGUUGCCUAUCAACCUCAGGAUGGACACGCAUGCUACAUGCUGAUAACUUACGCUAUAACAAUACUUUUAGAAGUUUAGAGACUGAUUCGGUUCUGUGAUGUUCAAUCAUGUGGUCAAAACAGCCUUUUCUUUCUGGGGUGGAGAUGAGAGAUGGCCAUGCGUAUUUUCUUUAUUCUAACACUUGUUAUUGUUGGUGCUCACAACUGGUCUGUUGUCAUUUUUUUUAAAUUUUCUAUUCCUCCUGAGGCAUUGUUGAAUUUCCUCUGGUUUAGAAUAGAUAGCUCCUCUCUCUCUCUCUGCAGCAGUGUGGUUGGUAGGUAGAUUUGGGCUCUAUGGUUUAGAAUAGAUAGCUCCUCUCUCUCUCUCUGCAGCAGUGUGGUUGGUAGGUAGAUUUGGGCUCUAUGGUUUAGAAUAGAUAGCUCCUCUCUCUCUCUGCAGCAGUGUGGUUGGGAGGUAGAUUUGGGCUCUAUGGUUUAGAAUAGAUAGCUCCUCUCUCUCUCUGCAGCAGUGUGGUUGGUAGGUAGAUUUGGGCUCUAUGGUUUAGAAUAGAUAGCUCCUCUCUCUCUGCAGCAGUGUGGUUGGUAGGUAGAUUUGGGCUCUAUGGUUUAGAAUAGAUAGCUCCUCUCUCUCUCUGCAGCAGUGUGGUUGGUAUGUAGAUUUGGGCUCUAUGGUUUAGAAUAGAUAGCUCCUCUCUCUCUGCAGCAGUGUGGUUGGUAGGUAGAUUUGGGCUCUAUGGUUUAGAAUAGAUAGCUCCUCUCUCUCUCUGCAGCAGUGUGGUUGGUAGGUAGAUUUGGGCUCUAUGGUUUAGAAUAGAUAGCUCCUCUCUCUCUCUGCAGCAGUGUGGUUGGUAGGUAGAUUUGGGCUCUAUGGUUUAGAAUAGAUAGCUCCUCUCUCUCUCUGCAGCAGUGUGGUUGGUAGGUAGAUUUGGGCUCUAUGGUUUAGAAUAGAUAGCUCCUCUCUCUCUCUCUGCAGCAGUGUGGUUGGUAGGUAGAUUUGGGCUCUAUGGUUUAGAAUAGAUAGCUCCUCUCUCUCUCUGCAGCAGUGUGGUUGGUAGGUAGAUUUGGGCUCUAUGGUUUAGAAUAGAUAGCUCCUCUGCAGCAGUGUGGUUGGUAGGUAGAUUUGGGCUCUAUGGGUUGAAGGUUAGAACAAAUAACCGUAGAGAAUAAGACAUGUUUGUUUUUAAAUAGCUGGUAUCUAUUCAUGUUAAUUAGACAUUUCAAUCUUAAUACUAGACUUUCUUCUAGAUGUAUUUGUGUUCAGUAAUAGUCAUAAAUUACACUUACUGCUGGUACAGUUGUACUCCAAGUUAUUAUUUAGGUAUCUUCAGUAAUAUUCUCUCUGGGAGCAGCCAGCUAGCGACACAGAGGACAGCCUUCUAUACUGCUCUAUCUGAUCAGUUGGAGUAUAAUCUACAACGUUAACAUGACGUUUCUACAACGUUUCUAUAACGUUACCAUGACGUUUCUACAACGUUACCAUGACGUUUCUAUAACGUUAACAUGAUGUCUCUAUAACGUUUCUAUAACGUUAACAUGACGUUUGUACAACGUUUCUAUACCGUUACCAUGACGUCUCUAUAACGUUAACAUGAUGUCUCUAUAACGUUUCUAUAACGUUACCACGACGUUUCUAUAACGUUAACAUGACGUCUCUAUAAUGUUAAACGUUUCUAUAACGUUAACAUGACGUCUCUAUAACGUUAACAUGACGUCUCUAUAAUGUUAACAUGGCGUUUCUAUAACGUUAACAUGACGUCUCUAUAAUGUUAAACGUUAAUAUAACGUCUCUAUAAUGUUAACAUGGCGUUUCUAUAACGUUAACAUGACGUCUCUAUAAUGUUAAACGUUAAUAUAACGUUAACAUGACGUCUCUAUAACGUUAACAUGGCGUUUCUAUAACGUUAACAUGACGUCUCUAUAACGUUAACAUGACGUUUCUAUAACGUUAACAUGACGUCUCUAUAAUGUUAAACGUUAAUAUAACGUUAACAGGCCGUUUCUAUAACGUUAACAUGACGUUUCUAUAACGUUAACAUGACGUUUCUAUAACGUUAUUAAUAAUCCCUGGUACAGGAAUGCGACAGCGUUUUAUUUUUUUCGUGACUGAAUAAGAGAAAACGGAAUAAACAACAGGGAGAUGGACCCAGACUCAACCACACGCAGAUCAUGAUUCUGUUGAGACGGUUUUUUAUUUUGUUUUUAUUUUUGUAUUUUCGAUGUUGUUUCUUCUUCUCUGAUGAACAACUAUGUUGUGUAGUGGUAGGUAGCCUGCUGCGGCUUGUGAAACUGACUUGUUUUAAUAACUCCUUCUUUACCAACCUGUACCGAGGCAGCAUACAUUCCUUCCUGUAGGAAACCUAGUACAGGUGUAUCAUCCUUCUCACUAUAGCUACUAACUUAUUAACGGAAAGGUGGUGAUUAGGGUUGCGAAAUUCCAGAAACGUUUCCAAAAUUCCUCGAUUUCCCGGGAAAUUCCGGGUUGGAAGAUUCUGGAAAAUCCAAAAAUCCAAGUUACCGGAAAUGUACAACCCUAGUGGUGAUUGAUAACUAUGAGGUGCCAGAACAUGGUAAAGCUCUAAGGGUUUAUGAGGCACUGUCCAUCUUAACGCUUUAAAACCUUUUAUACAUGUCCUUACAUUCCAUCAUCCCAACUCAUAUCCUUGGACAUUCAACAUAUUUACAUUGACUAAGCUACACUUCCUAAAUGCUACCCUAUUUCCUAGGCAGUGCACUACUUUUGGCCAGCCCUUCAUCUCCUCAAAGGAAGACGAGCAGAAAUGAGAGCAAGACCAGGAACGGACUCUUUUGACAAUAUUCUCUUUUGGUGCUUUUCUCAAACUUGUCUGUCCAAAAGUAGUGCACUAUGUAGGGAAUAGGGACCCAUUUGGGAUGAAGCCGAAAACAUAUUCUCUGAGAGCCGGGAUCCAGCUGCCAGUCAGUUGUUGUUGUUAUUAUUAUUGACUUUAAUGUUAAAUGAGUUUAGAUGUAAAGAAACUCUUCUAAUCUAUAGUAGUUCAUAACAGAUGAAUGAUUGAUCUGUACUUUCUGUAAAUGUUAUGAGAAAAACGUUUUAUUUAGGCCAUUGUGGUGAAAUGAACCAUCAUUUGUAGUGCAUGAACACAGAGGGAAGGGGACCCUAGUGUCCUGAAAUCAUUUAUCCUAAAACACAUUUCAUUACCGUCACUAGGUAGUAGUACAUUUCUAAUACCUUUUCCCAAAAUUCCCAGGUUUUCUAGAAAUCCCGGUUGGAAGAUUCACAGGAUCAGGAGGGCAAAAAAGCAGAAAAUGCGGGAAUCCUCCAAACAGAAUCUGGGAGUUUUUGGGAAAGUUAACGGAAUUUUGGAGGCUCACACUUGUUCUGCUUCGGCAACACAAUUCCCUACACGCUGUAGGAAAAUCACUUAAUGACAAAGUAUUUUUUAUAUAGGUAAACUAUAAGACCAUCAUUACGCUGUGCGUAACGAAAUGUACAGAGAAGAUAAAAAUCAUAGGUAUUUUUGGAGGAUCAAUGAAUUUGUUAAUGAUAUGUAGCUAUUUAAUUUCCCUUUUUUUUGUCCAAUCAUGCAUUUUAUAACUUCUUUUUUUUUGGUGUAAAAAAAAAAAGUUGAUCUUUUUUGUUUAGUUUUUUUAGAUGUUUUAUUUUUUAAUUUUUAAAAGGUUAAAGUGCAGGAACACAGUAAUAAUAUGAAAACACUGCGUUGAUGAUAGCCACUUGUGUAUUUUAGCAGUUAUAAUGCUCCAUAAAGGCUACUCAGCAGACAGUCUACAAAGGCAUAACGGUUAUGUCCCAAACAAUCACCGGAUUCCCUAUAUAGGGAAUAGUGCCAUUUGUAACCAAUCCUCUUUAUUCAACCUUUUGCCUCUUGAGACAAUUGAACAAAAGAUUGUUGUCAUCCAUCUUGUUUGACUUGUUUGUGAUCCAGUAAUAACAGGUAUAGCCAGAUAGUCAUCCAACCAGUUUGGGAUAAAGAUGCUACUGUAUUAGCCAUGUUAUUUAAUCGAAGAUCCCAGGAAGACUGGCUGUGUGCUUCCAAAUCAAUGAUAUGCAUCCAAAAUGACACCAUUUUCCCUAUGUAGUGUACUAGUCAACAGCAGAUACAUAGGGAAUUAGGUACCAUUUUGGAUGCAACCAAAUGAAACAGUAAAUAUUCAAGUUCCUUCACUUGGAAGCUGCAUCAACAUUGUAAUUCAUUUGUAGUAUUCUGUAUUCUACUGUCCAUGCUGUUAGUAAAUCUGUGUUAAACCUUCAUUUUGUGGCCUUGUUCCUCCAACUAAAAAGGUUUUGGCAGGCCACCUUUUUUGUACUUAAGUAGUAUCGAUGAACAAUAAACUGCUCUUAAACCUCAAGUUGUGUCUCAGUCUGGUCACUCUAUUAUUGGUUACUGCUGUUUAUUACCAAGUCACUAAACGUCGAGUCUCCAAGUCAAUAGCGUUCAAUAAUUACUGUUAUUACCAAGUCACUAAACCCUGAGUCUGUCUCUAGCGUUCAAUAAUUACUGUUAUUACCAAGUCACUAAACCCUGAGUCUGUCCCUAGCGUUCAAUAAUGACUGUUUAUUACCAAGUCACUAAACCCUGAGUCUGUCCCUAGCGUUCAAUA